UGCAAGUUUGGCUUUGGGAAGUGCUUUGA
RNAcentral lists this non-coding RNA (29 nucleotides) under Callithrix jacchus (white-tufted-ear marmoset). RNAcentral also lists the same sequence under 1 other name. Lineage: Eukaryota; Metazoa; Chordata; Mammalia; Primates; Cebidae. The record is from RNAcentral.